RNAcentral lists this long non-coding RNA (926 nucleotides) under Vigna radiata. RNAcentral's name for it is "long non-coding RNA (VRAD_LNC009548)". The record is from RNAcentral. Lineage: Eukaryota; Viridiplantae; Streptophyta; Magnoliopsida; Fabales; Fabaceae.
UUUUUUUAAAACAAAAAAGUUCAAAAAGCAUAAUUUUUUUUUUAAAUGUUUUUAUCGAAUAAACUGUAUUGUAUGAAUACUCGUCAGAUCAAUUGUAGUGGUAUAAAACUUUUCUGUGCAAAGGUUGUAAUGGAGGGGCAUGAAGAGAAGAACAAUAAUGGAGAAAAGAAUAAGAAGAACAAAGGGGAGGGACAGUGGCUAAGUUAGACAAAGAACAAGAAGAAAAAAAGUGAGGAGAGUUUUAAAGUAAAAAAGUGAAAAAAGAAUUACCUAGGUUAAAAACCCAUUUUAUCCAUUCUCAGAUUUCUUGUCUCCGCCAAACAAAUUCCAAAUUCUGCUUUUAUUAAAAACUCCUGAAAUGACAUUCAAAAUACCAUUUGCAGAAAAUGGAAUUCUGAACAUAAUAAAUACAGUGUUAUAUCUAUAAAUAAAAUGCAUAGUAUGUCAUAUGUGAAAUUAAAAACACUUUGUGUCAUUAAUAAAAAAAAAAAUUGAUUUUUUGAACAUAGCAUACAAAGUUGAUUCUUUUGAAACAAAAAAUUUCAAAAACCAUAAACUUUUUUUAAAUGUUUUUAUCGAAUAAAACUUUUUUUAAAUGUUUUUAUCGAAUAAACUGUAUUGUAUGAAUACUCGUCAGAUCAAUUGUAGUGGUAUAAAACUUUUCCGUGCAAAGGUGGUGAUAGAGGGGCAUGAAGAGAAGAAUAAGAAUAGAGAAAAGAAUAAGAAGAACAAAGGGGAUGGGCAGUGGCUAAUUUAGGCAAAGAACAAGAAGAAAAAAAGUGAGGAGAGUUUUAAAGUAAAAAGGUGAAAAAAGAAUUACCUAGGUUAAAAACCCAUUUUUUCCAUUCUCAGAAUUCUUGUCUCCCCCAAACAAGAUCCAAAUUCUGCUUUUAUUAAAAACUCCUCAAAUGACAUUCAAAAUACGA